AAUAUCACAUCUUAAGAAGAAUCAUAAGAAAAAUCGAGCUGAAAUAUACAUCACACUGCACAGGCGUUUAGCAGGACAUUCGCGAUUAAUUUAGCAACUGCAGCUCAUCACGGAACAAAUACUAAAUAUUUUAUUGUGCAUCGAGUCAAUCUAUCAGUAUUCGCAAUGCUUAAGAGUAACAAAAACAUCAAUUUUACUGCUAUGCAGUCUGAAAAACGUCUUGCAAGUAGUACCUGUCACAAAUUGCAGUGACAUUUAAACGCAUAUUUCUUUUGCGCAAGACGCACGAGAUCACGAGGAGAAAAUGCUGCUGGAAGCGAGGGCCACUAGCAAAACUUUGCUUUUUUCACGCAGAUAAAGGGCAAUUUUAUCAUCGCGGUAACAGAUUUGUGUCAAAAUUGAAACAAAAUAAGAUCAAGGCAGAAGGUGUCACGGGUAUCAGGGUCUCGCAAAGAAAACUAUCAACAUACUUGGCAUAAAACCCUGAAAUUAUUACAUCACUAAAGAACAAGCAAGGAAUCAAAAUAUCAAAUUGUGAUAUCAGAACUACGUGUAAAUGCUGCAUAAAAGAUAAAAUACCCAGGUACGUAUUCCAAAAAACAUCGUUAAGCACAACAGAAUCAAUAAUGGAAUUGGUGCACAUGGAUGUGUACAGUCCUAUGCAAACGAAAAUACCAGGUAAUAAACGCUACGUACAGUGUAACCUUAAUUACACGGGUCCAGUUCAUCUGGGAUGUGAAUUAAUCGGGCUUACUGCAAAAUAUUUUUUUAUUUUUAUUUUGAAGACUA
This is a long non-coding RNA of Diprion similis, 789 nucleotides long. RefSeq lists it as uncharacterized. The transcript is spliced from 3 exons. Lineage: Eukaryota; Metazoa; Arthropoda; Insecta; Hymenoptera; Diprionidae. The record is from RefSeq and is a predicted model, not a curated record.